RNAcentral lists this long non-coding RNA (2552 nucleotides) under Malus domestica (apple). Its description in RNAcentral is "long non-coding RNA (MDOM_LNC014748)". Lineage: Eukaryota; Viridiplantae; Streptophyta; Magnoliopsida; Rosales; Rosaceae. The record is from RNAcentral.
UUUGGAACAAAACAAACCACCAGACUAAUGCAAAGAGUGGCGGGAACUGACACACCCCGUCCCGAAGGAGGGCAUGCUGGCCGUCACGUGAGAGUGACGUAACCAUUUGCACAGUACGGAAGCUUUAAGAUACAAUUUAAAUUGAUACACCCGAAGGUGAGUCCUAAUUUGUCCAAUCUGUCAGAACACCGUCGAAUUCCUCGUAGUCACCACACCUUUGUGAUUCUUGAACCUGGAGGGGCGCAAAACCAAAAUUGAGUGGGUCAGUAAAACAAUUCUUUUCCAAAUCCAAACAUUUCUCAAAACGUUGUAACCCCUCUCCGUAAAACCUGUAUACUUUCCCAGAAAUGUAAAAUAUAAAUAUACAUAUAUAUUCUCAAAACUUCAUUUUUACUAUCUCAACAUUUUUCUUUAUCAAUCAUGCCAUGCCAUGUCUAAUUCAACAGUUAAAUAUGGAUGCAUCAAUAAUAAUCAUAUCAGGUGCAAGAAAGUAAUCAACCGGAGGCCCUCUAAUAGCCCUGUACGGUUGAACCUAGAGCUCAAAAUCUAUCACUAUCACUCUACCGGAGUCACCUCUGUGACCCGUCCGGCCUUCUGCACACAAGUUACGCUCUAGUGCUUUUCUCAUCAAUCAUCUGUGCACAUAAUCUAAGGUCACCCACCAGUCGGAAUCUCACUAAACACUCUCGCGACUGGCCUGUCGUACCCACUCCGCGUGGACUGUACGACUAGCAUCUACUUGGAUCCAAGGCGAGCGUGCGAUGCGGUGAAUACUAUAAGCACUAAACCAUGGUGCAGGAUUUGAGCUCAAUAUAUAUCAACAUCAUCAUAACAGUAAUUAAAUACUCACCUGAUACUCACCUGUGCGUCCGCCGCACCAUUCAUUCAUAUGCAUCAUAUCUCAAUUCAUACUUUUCAUAUCAUUUCAUGCAUGGCAAUUCGAUUCACAUUUCUAUAUACUUUUCAUAUACUUUUAUGCAUGGCAUUUCAACUAAUAUAUCUCAUAUACUUUUAUACAUUUUCAUUAAAAGCAUAAUUUCAUGCAUUUUCAAUUUCUGGGAAACGGCAAGUAUAUAUGUAUACGGAAAACAAAACUGCCCACUCACCUGGAGUUCGCCCUACAACUCCCUAGCACAAUACGCCAAGGCGUCAUGACGAUCGGCGCCUAAAACAAUAAUUAAUUCCAACCUCAGAAUUCAUAGUGAUAGAAUAUAUAACUUAUAUAAAAUACGUCACUACGUAGUUCGAUCCGGAAGAUCUGCCACUCAGAUUUUAAAUCCAUAACUUCCAGAGGUCCACAAUAUACCUCUAGGACAACUUCCUAAAAUUUCAUUACCAUCCAACGGUCGGAUCUCCGUCAAUUUCCAAAACUAAGUGACGGUUAACAUUUUAUUUUAUGAACUUACAAUUCCAAUUCCGGAAGAUCCGUAAACUCGGAUUCCCAAUCCGUAAGUUCCAAUAAUCCUCAAAUAUUACGUAUUACAACGUAUCAAAGUUUGGUAACGAUCCAACGGUCGGAUCGUCAAUUCACAUUUUCACCAAAACUAUAAAACGUUAUUCGAACACCUAACCAACAAUCCUUAAUAACUUUCUCAUACGGUGCUCAAAUUGGGUAUAUGAAUAUACCACGGUGAUCUACUCGACGUCACGGACGUCGACAUAUUUUUAAAAUAAUUUUAUUUAUUUAUUUUUUUAACUGUAGCACCUUCUUCUUCCUUGGGUCGCCGGACUGGUUUUUCCGGCGGCCGUUUUCCGGGCAGUUUUUCAAAUUGUCAUAACUUUGUCAUUUCUCAACGAAAUCAAGUGAUUCAAAAACGAAAGUUGUAGCCCUUGAAGAGACAAAGAGAAUGGUACCUUUCCCAACACCUAGUUCGCCGUAGUUUGGCCGGAAACUGCCUCGAAAGCCUCGGAGGUCGCCGGAAAACUGGGUAUUUUUUCAAAUGAGUAUAACUUCUUCAAUACUCAACAAAAUUGAGUGAAACAAAAAGGAAAGUUGUAGUACUUGACGAGACGAAGAGAUUGAUACCUACCUCGACGCCUAACUCGCCGGGGAUUCGCCGGAAAAUGCCUCGAAAGCUCCGGCCAAACUUUGAACUUAUCGAUCUCCGUGUUCUUACGUCCAAAAACUUCCAACGAAGCACUCCGAGCUUCCUUGGAACCUCACUAAGCUCACUGUGAGCUUGGAUUGUCCUAAAACAAAGUCAAUUCGAAGAUCAUGAACAGUGCACUUUCACGGGAGUUUAGAAUCUAGGUUUUCCGAAGUAAAACUUACCUGAAAUUGGUGUCUACGUGAUCGUGGAGUCUCCAGGAGUUCGAUGGUGGUCUUAACUCCGUCGUUGGUGGAAGUUUAAGGUUGUUUUGUGGUUGGUUUGUUCGAACGGAGAAGAAGAGUGACAGAGAGAGAGAGAUUCGUGAGGGAGGAGAGAGAGUGAAUGACAGUAUACGGGAAUUGGGGAGGGAAUCAGGGUAGGAGGCCCUACUUAAAUCCCAAACACAACUUUAAACAUACUAAUGUAAAUCCAAUUGUUAAAUUUUCGCCCCUUAGUCCCGCU